GACGAACGCUGGCGGCGUGCUUAACACAUGCAAGUCGAACGGUGAAGCGCCUUCCUUUUUGGUGGGUGUGGAUGAGUGGCGAACGGGUGAGUAACACGUGAGUAACCUGCCCCCUUCUUCUGGAUAACCGCAUGAAAGUUUGGCUAAUACGGGAUAUUCUGGGUCUGUCGCAUGAUGGGUCUGGGACAGAUAUUGUUUCGGUGGGGGCUGGGCGCGCGGCCUAUGAGCUUGUUGGGGGGGUGAUGGCCUAGCAGGGCGGUGACGUGUAGCCGGCCUGGGAGGGUGGACGGUCAGACAGGGACUGAGACACCGCUCGGACUGCGACGCGGGGCAGCAGUGGGGAGGAGGGAGCAAUGGGCAAAAGUCUGAUGCGGCGACGACGCGGGAGCGAUGGAGGCCCGCAGGUUGUGAACGUCUUUCGCCAGUGAAGCGGGUCCGCCUCGGAUGUGGGGGGGUUGACGGUAGUUGGUAAAGAAGCGCCGGCUAACUACGUG
This 494-nucleotide ribosomal RNA is filed under the name uncultured bacterium. Its description in RNAcentral is "partial 16S ribosomal RNA". It matches the Rfam family "Bacterial small subunit ribosomal RNA", at positions 28 to 507 of the family's 1533-position model. The record is from RNAcentral.